CUGAGAGCUGCCAGGGUGCUGAGCUCAGCGAGUCAGAGCUCAGAUGGGAUGGUUUCCAGGUGGGAUGGCUGAGAGGGAAAGCAGCCAGCACUGAAACCAGAGUCUGCAGAGUCAUGAUGUCAUAAACUAAUCUGGAAACUUCUUUACUUCCUCUUGACACUUUCCCCUCAUCAAUUCAGUUUAUUGGUAUGUAUGAGGUGUUAUUUUAGGGUGUGUAUCCAGAGCUGCCUCAGGGGGCUUGGAGCCACCCCCAGGAGGUGCCUGCAGAAGGAGCAGCCCUCCCCAGCACAGUUUGUGUUCCCCAGUUGCAGAUGUGGAGCUGGUGUGGUCUCUCCCUGGGCAGUGUGGGAUGUGACAUUGGCUCCUGCUGCUCCUCCAGCUCUGGGGCUCACAGCAGAGGCCCUCACAGCUCCCUGCAGGACACAAACAGCCCAGGAUCUUCCGUGGAUGCUAAUUUGAGUUUUGUGCUUCCUGUGAUGUCUUAUCAGUUGAUCCCUGAGGCUGGAAUUCAGCUGCUCUAAUUUUGGUAACUUGAGGAAGCCUGAGUAAGUCUGCCUGGGAUUUCCCCAUCCCUGCCUCCUGCAAAAAGCCUGUCCAGGAACCCAGGCCUGGGAAAAGACCACCUGGAAAACCUCCCCUGAGGAUAAGCUGGUCCUUGGCUUCAAGGUUGUUGCUGCUCUGUCCAAGUGAAGAAGUGCCUUGGGUGUGCUCCAGCUGUUCUGGAUGAUGGAAUGAGCAUUUCUGCCCCUCCCUGCAGAUCCUGCAGCACAGACAGCACAAACAGCUCUGCAUUCCUGGGAGGCUCGAGGUCAGAACACGAUGCUGAGUGUUGCAGAACUCCCUGGCCUGACGUGACCUGGUGUCCUCAGCUCCAUCUGUGUGUGGCCUCCACCACUUCCAGCUGCAAAAGGCACUCCUUGGUGCUUCCUUCUGCCAAACAUCCAGCACUCCCAGCUCUGAGCGCUGCUCCCAGUGCAGCCACAGCUCAGUUUUUGUCUUUGGUGGCCAGUGAAAAGCACUGAGGUCUCUGGCUGAGAAAGGGUGGAUGAAAUUCAAUGCUUUGGAUCCAGCUCAACAGGUGUUUUUGUUUCUCCUUGCUCCUGGUGGGCAGAUCUGCUGCUUGCAGGGCUGAUUCAUCUCCUCACCUGAAGAGGAUCCAGUGACCUGCUUGGACAAGCUCAGCUGGGAGUUAUAAACGCAUCCCUGUGGUACACUGGCAUGGCAAGAGUGGGUAACAGGGGGUGGAAAUAGCAAGAGGAUUUGUCCCUGCAGGUCACCCUCCUCUUCCUGGGGCUCCCUCUGAGGCUGGGUCUGUACUUGCCUCCCUCCAGCUGGGAGUUGGGCAAUGCUGGGACAUGGAUUAGGGGGGUGGGGGGUGGAACUUCACUGGAAACCUCUACGUGAUGAACAGCAGGUGAUGCCACUGGUGCCAGAGCUGGAGGCACCCCCUGGGUGCUGUGCCUCAGGAGCUGCCUGUUGACUGCACCAGGCUGACACAGCCCAGGUGAUGGGACAGCUGGAAGAAGCUGAUUUGAUCUGUCUUCCUCCUUGGAUAUGAUCCUGAUUGAAAUAAAGAGAGAUGAAUGUAAGACCAAA
This is a long non-coding RNA of Haemorhous mexicanus (house finch), 1596 nucleotides long. RefSeq lists it as uncharacterized. Lineage: Eukaryota; Metazoa; Chordata; Aves; Passeriformes; Fringillidae. The transcript has 2 exons. The record is from RefSeq and is a predicted model, not a curated record.